RNAcentral lists this ribosomal RNA (383 nucleotides) under uncultured bacterium. RNAcentral describes it as "bacterial SSU rRNA". It matches the Rfam family "Bacterial small subunit ribosomal RNA", at positions 521 to 896 of the family's 1533-position model. The record is from RNAcentral.
UAAUACAGAGACCUCAAGCGUUAUCCGGAAUCAUUGGGCGUAAAGCGUGCCGAUAGGUGGUUUUAUUAGUCUUGGGUAAAAGCCAGAAGCUUAACUUCUGAGUUUGCUUAAGAUACUGUAAAACUUGAGGGGCAAAGAGGUGCUUGGAACGAACGGUGUAGUAGUGAAAUGCGUUGAUAUCGUUCGGAACACCGAAAGCGAAGGCAGAGCACUGGGUGCCACCUGACACUGCUAGGACGAAAGCGUGGGGAGCGAAUGGGAUUAGAUACCCCAGUAGUCCACGCUGUAAACGAUGAAUACUAGGCAUGCGCGAGUAUCGACCCUCGUGCGAGCCGUAGCUAACGCGUUAAGUAUUCCGCCUGGGGAGUACGGUCGCAAGACUA